UCGAGAAUUUUUCUCAAUGGGCGAAAGCCUGAAGGAGCGACGCCGCGUGGAGGAUGAAGGCUUUCGGGUUGUAAACUCCUGUCAUUUGAGAACAAGGGGCCGAACUUAACUACUUCGGCCUUGAUAGUAUCAGAAGAGGAAGGGACGGCUAACUCUGUGCCAGCAGCCGCGGUAAUACAGAGGUCCCAAGCGUUGUUCGGAUUCAUUGGGCGUAAAGGGUGCGUAGGUGGCGCCGUAAGUCGGGUGUGAAAUUUCGGAGCUUAACUCCGAAACUGCAUUCGAUACUGCGGUGCUUGAGGACUGGAGAGGAGACUGGAAUUCAUGGUGUAGCAGUGAAAUGCGUAGAGAUCAUGAGGAAGACCAGUGGCGAAGGCGGGUCUCUGGACAGUUCCUGACACUGAGGCACGAAGGCCAGGGGAGCAAACGG
RNAcentral lists this ribosomal RNA (427 nucleotides) under uncultured bacterium. RNAcentral describes it as "bacterial SSU rRNA". It matches the Rfam family "Bacterial small subunit ribosomal RNA", at positions 355 to 775 of the family's 1533-position model. The record is from RNAcentral.